This 450-nucleotide ribosomal RNA is filed under the name uncultured prokaryote. RNAcentral describes it as "bacterial SSU rRNA". It matches the Rfam family "Bacterial small subunit ribosomal RNA", at positions 355 to 796 of the family's 1533-position model. The record is from RNAcentral.
UAAGGAAUUGUUCGCAAUGGGCGCAAGCCUGACGACGCAAUGCCGCGUGGAGGACGAAGGCCUUCGGGUCGUAAACUCCUGUCGAGCGGGAAGAAGAGUGCACGGGUCAAUACCCCGUGCGCCUGACGGUACCGCUAAAGGAAGCCCCGGCUAACUCCGUGCCAGCAGCCGCGGUAAUACGGAGGGGGCUAGCGUUGUUCGGAUUUACUGGGCGUAAAGGGCUCGUAGGCGGCCAUUUAAGUCGGUUGUGAAAUCCCUCGGCUCAACCGAGGAACUGCGACCGAUACUGGGUGGCUUGAAGCCGGGAGAGGGAUGCGGAAUUCCAGGUGUAGCGGUGAAAUGCGUAGAUAUCUGGAGGAACACCCGUGGCGAAGGCGGCAUCCUGGACCGGUCUUGACGCUGAGGAGCGAAAGCUAGGGUAGCAAACGGGAUUAGAUACCCCCGUAGUCC